RNAcentral lists this ribosomal RNA (497 nucleotides) under uncultured bacterium. RNAcentral's name for it is "partial 16S ribosomal RNA". It matches the Rfam family "Bacterial small subunit ribosomal RNA", at positions 28 to 507 of the family's 1533-position model. The record is from RNAcentral.
GAUGAACGCUGGCGGCGUGCCUAAUACAUGCAAGUCGAACGCUGAAGGAAGGAGCUUGCUCUUUCCGGAUGAGUUGCGAACGGGUGAGUAACGCGUAGGUAACCUGCCUGGUAGCGGGGGAUAACUAUUGGAAACGAUAGCUAAUACCGCAUAACAGUAGAUGUUGCAUGAUACAUACGUAAAAGGUGCAAUUGCCCCACUACCAGAUGGACCUGCGUUGUAUUAGCUAGUUGGUGAGGUAACGGCCCACCAAAGCGACCAUACAUAGCCGGACGGAGGGGGUGAUCGGCCACCCUGGGACUGGGAAACCGACCCGACUUCUUCGGGGGGCAGCAGUAGGGGAUCUUUGGACAUGGACGGAAGGCUGACCGAGGAACGCCGGGGGGGUGGAGAAGGGUUUCGGAGCGUUAAGGUCUGUUGUAAGGGAAAGACGAGUGUGAGAGUGGAAAGUCCACACUGUGACGGUACCUAAACAGAAAGGGACGGCUAACUACGUG